GAUGAACGCUGGCGGCGUGCUUAACACAUGCAAGUCGAACGAAGCAUUUAGGACAGAUUACUUCGGUUUGAAGUUCUUUAUGACUGAGUGGCGGACGGGUGAGUAACGCGUGGGUAACCUGCCUUGUACUGGGGGAUAGCAGCUGGAAACGGCUGGUAAUACCGCAUAAGCGCACAAUGUUGCAUGACAUGGUGUGAAAAACUCCGGUGGUAUAAGAUGGACCCGCGUCUGAUUAGCUAGUUGGUGAGAUAACAGCCCACCAAGGCGACGAUCAGUAGCCGACCUGAGAGGGUGACCGGCCACAUUGGGACUGAGACACGGCCCAGACUCCUACGGGAGGCAGCAGUGGGGAAUAUUGCAAAAUGGAGGAAACUCUGAUGCAGCGACGCCGCGUGAGUGAAGAAGUAAUUCGUUAUGUAAAGCUCUAUCAGCAGGGAAGAUAGUGACGGUACCUGACGAAGAAGCUCCGGCUAAAUACGUG
This 481-nucleotide ribosomal RNA is filed under the name uncultured bacterium. RNAcentral describes it as "partial 16S ribosomal RNA". It matches the Rfam family "Bacterial small subunit ribosomal RNA", at positions 28 to 507 of the family's 1533-position model. The record is from RNAcentral.